UACAGAGGUCCCAAGCGUUGUUCGGAUUCACUGGGCGUAAAGGGUGCGUAGGUGGUCGGGUAAGUCUGAUGUGAAAUCUCCAAGCUCAACUUGGAAACUGCAUCGGAUACUAUUCGGCUCGAGGGUUGGAGGGGGGACUGGAAUGCUUGGUGUAGCAGUGAAAUGCGUAGAUAUCAAGCGGAACACCAGUGGCGAAGGCGAGUCCCUGGACAACUCCUGACACUGAGGCACGAAAGCUAGGGGAGCAAACAGG
This 253-nucleotide ribosomal RNA is filed under the name uncultured bacterium. RNAcentral describes it as "partial 16S ribosomal RNA". It matches the Rfam family "Bacterial small subunit ribosomal RNA", at positions 524 to 776 of the family's 1533-position model. The record is from RNAcentral.